GCCAGGCGUGGUGGCGCGCACCUGUAGUCCCAGUUACUAGGGAGGCUGAGGCAGGAGAAUCGCUCGAACCCGGGAGGCAGAGGUUGCAGUGAGCCAAGACCAUGCCACUGCACUCCAGCCUGGGCGACAGAGCGAGACUCUGUCUCAA
RNAcentral lists this non-coding RNA (148 nucleotides) under Nomascus leucogenys (northern white-cheeked gibbon). The record is from Rfam by way of RNAcentral. Lineage: Eukaryota; Metazoa; Chordata; Mammalia; Primates; Hylobatidae.